Molecule: ribosomal RNA, 450 nt
Filed under: Botrytis cinerea
Lineage: Eukaryota; Fungi; Ascomycota; Leotiomycetes; Helotiales; Sclerotiniaceae
Description: eukaryotic LSU rRNA
Rfam family: 5.8S ribosomal RNA (bases 104-257)
Source: RNAcentral
AUUACUUUGUUGCUUUGGCGAGCUGCCUUCGGGCCUUGUAUGCUCGCCAGAGAAUACCAAAACUCUUUUUAUUAAUGUCGUCUGAGUACUAUAUAAUAGUUAAAACUUUCAACAACGGAUCUCUUGGUUCUGGCAUCGAUGAAGAACGCAGCGAAAUGCGAUAAGUAAUGUGAAUUGCAGAAUUCAGUGAAUCAUCGAAUCUUUGAACGCACAUUGCGCCCCUUGGUAUUCCGGGGGGCAUGCCUGUUCGAGCGUCAUUUCAACCCUCAAGCUUAGCUUGGUAUUGAGUCUAUGUCAGUAAUGGCAGGCUCUAAAAUCAGUGGCGGCGCCGCUGGGUCCUGAACGUAGUAAUAUCUCUCGUUACAGGUUCUCGGUGUGCUUCUGCCAAAACCCAAAUUUUUCUAUGGUUGACCUCGGAUCAGGUAGGGAUACCCGCUGAACUUAAGCAUA